UGCGUAGGCGGCUUUUUAAGUUUGGUGUGAAAUCUCCCGGCUCAACUGGGAGGGUGCGCCGAAUACUGAGAGGCUAGAGUGCGGGAGAGGAAAGUGGAAUUCCUGGUGUAGCGGUGAAAUGCGUAGAUAUCAGGAGGAACACCGGUGGUGUAAACGGCUUUCUGGACCGUAACUGACGCUGAUGCACGAAAGCGUGGGUAGCAAACAGGAUUAGAUACCCUGGUACGUCCACGCCCUAAACGAUGCAUAUUUGGUGUGGGCCAUUCAUUUGGUCCGUGCCGGAGCUAACGCGUUAAAUAUGCCGCCUGGGGAGUACAGUCGCAAGGCUGAA
RNAcentral lists this ribosomal RNA (331 nucleotides) under uncultured bacterium. RNAcentral's name for it is "bacterial SSU rRNA". It matches the Rfam family "Bacterial small subunit ribosomal RNA", at positions 568 to 898 of the family's 1533-position model. The record is from RNAcentral.